UAUAAGUAUAUAAAGAAACUAUUAUAAAAUUAAUGCUAUGUGUCAAAGAGAAAAAUUUAUAGUAUAUAUAUAAGCUCUUAGGAAAAUCUGAUCCAAAACGAAGUGAAAUGAAAUAUCUUAGUAACUUCAGGAAAAAAAAUCAAAAGAGAUUCUGUGAUUAGCGUGAGUGAAAAUAGAAGAGCCUAAAAAGUAGAAUGGUCCAAAAAACUGUUUAAAUAGAAAGGGGAACCUUCCUCAAAGGCUAAAUAUGACACGUAAGCGAUAGUGAAAAGUACCGUGAGGGAACAAAAUAAAAAUAGUAGUUUUAUAAGCAGUUCGAUAAAAAGAACGUACCUUUUGCAUAAUGGGUCAUCAAGUUAACAUUAGACGCGAGCAUUGUGCGUAGUUAAACCGAACGUAAAAAUAACGUAAAAGUGUCUAAUGUUAGACCCGAAUAGCGGUGAUUUUACCACAGUCAGGAUUAUAAAAGUCCGAACGGGUGAUUGUUGCAUAAAUCUCCGAAGAACUGUGGUAGGUGUGGUGAAGAAAGACAACACUGACCGCCGUAGCUGGUUUUCUGCGAAACCUAUACUAGUAGGCAAUUUAAGUAAAAUCUUAGCAGGUACAGAAUUUAAUCUCGGACAAGACGUGUAAACGUUUUAUUUUGUACAAAUAGGGAGAUCUUAGCGAUUUUAUCUGUGAGUAUGUAUGCUCGGGACGGCAAAGAUAUAUCUUGAAUGAUCAGACAUAGAAUGAUAAGGUUGUAUGUCAAAAGGGAAACAGCCCAGAACAAUAAUUAAGGUUCCUAAAUUAUUAGUUAAGUGAAAUAAAGAGAGUUUUUAUUGAAGUCGACAAGGAGAUAGGCUUAGAAUCAGCCAUAAUUUAAUGAGUUCGUAACAGAGCGCUUGUUAAUCGAUAAUAGGCAUCUAAGAUUUAACGGAUCUAAACAAUAUACCGAAAUUUUGUCCAUAAUAUAUUGUAUUAAUAAUAUUUAAUAUAGUAUAAUGGGGUAGCAGAACGUUGAGUCUAAAAAGAAGGUUUUAUUUAUUAAAUAAAAUUUUGAAAUAACUCAAGUGAGAAUGGUGACAUGAGUAACUAAAAGAAAAGUUUUUGUUUUCCGCCUUAAGCUUAUGGUUAAAAUUAAGUAACGGCCUCUAAGUUUAUAUUAUCUAAAGAUUUAAAUGAUGAGAAAAUCUUUUUACUAAAAAACAACAUUUAAGCGUAAAAUGUGCAGGAAAAAGUAGUAAAGUAAAUAACCGUACCUAGAAUCUGAAACAAGUAAGCAAGUAGAGAAUACGAAGGCGUAAAUGAGCUAACAAUCAUAAAGGAACUCGGCAAAAUGACUACUGUAACUUCGGGAGAAAGAGGGCUACAAAAAUAAAUACCGGUAGUUGAGCUACUAUGGGUUUAUACAAUAGGAAGAGGCAUAGAAUAGUGCUGUACGACUGUUUAAUUAAAACACAGCACUUUGCUUAAGAUAAAAAAAAAUCUACGUAUAAAGUGUGAGAUCUGCCCAGUGCCGGCAGGUUAACUGAAAUAAUUUAGUAGUACUAAUACUAGAUAUUGAAGGACACCCCGGUUAAAGGCGGCCUUAACGUGAGGGUUCGUAAAAGGGUCCUAUUUAAAUUCGGCUAAUUGCUGGAACGGCUAUAAAUAUAUAGCUCAAAAAAGCUUACUUGCAAAAGUAAGCACUAGAGAACUACAUACUAGCUCCAAUCAGCAGGAAAGAUUAAAUAAAUAAAUUCAGGAUGAGAAUUACAAAUUUUGAUUAGGAGGAUUUGUGGAAGGAGAGUAAAAAAUACUAAAUGGUUUAACUUUACAGCCUGAAACUGGUAUAGCGAUACUACAAAGCUAUUUUUGAAGAUAAAGGUUCAGGUUCUAUUCGCUAAAAGGAACUAAAAACAUACAAUUUCGAAAAGUAUGUAAUUCUAGUAAGUUUUCUCUUAUUAUUAAUAAAUUAAAUGAUAAUAGAAAUAGUACUAUUAGUAGAGAAGAAAUAAUUAAUUUAAUUGAAUUAGUUUACUCAUAUAAUCCAGAUACAAAAGGUAAACCUAGAAAAAGAACACUACAAGAAACUAUAGACAUAGUUAACCAGAAUAGUACGAAUUUGGAGUUAAAUUUUAUUUAAAAUCUUCAGAGGCCAUACGCCGAACAGUUUACCUGUCUAAGCAAUGCUUAGGCGGAAAUUAUUAUACAUCCUUCUGUGUUACAUCAGAAUAUAAUAAUACUAAAGUUGUAAAUUGAUGAUAUGGUCCAUCCGGAUUUCAUUCCGGUUGCCUAAGGUAGCAAAAUGCCUUGGCCGUUAAAUGCGGUCUUGCAUGAAUGGUGCAACGAUACAGCAGCUGUCUCUAUGAUUGGCUCAGUGAAAUUGGAAUAGCAGUACUAAUGUAUUUUUGUGCUGUGUUGGUGAAAAUCCAACUCUACAAAAUUAGAGUAAUUUAUUCUCCAAUCUUUGCUUAUGGUAAACGUUUAUUACCGUAUCCGCUUAUCUCGAAAAGAAAAAUGUAUAAAAAGUAUCAAAUAUUACUCUACUUUAUGCACACCCCGCUUACCCUGCUUUGCACCUCGGCCUCAGCCCACAUCUUUAGAUGUAGGGGUUGUGGAGUUUUUCCAAUGGUUUGUGGGGUUUGCGGAUGCGGAAAGUAAUAGUACCGAAAGGCUCCGCCGAAUAUUAACAAAUUCUCUUUAAAAUAAGUUUAAAUAAAGAUGAAUGUAAAAAGAGGAUAUUUAUAAGUUAAUGUCUAUUUUUGACAAGUACCCGCUUAACACUAGCAAAUAUUUUGACUACCUUGAUUUUCAAAAAUAUUAUAAAAGAGAGAGUUCAGUAACACAAGAGUUAAAAAACGGAAUGAACACAAUGCGUACUGAACAGCAAUUUAAUAUGCUUAACACUAAUCAUAAGAUUAUUGGGGCUAAUAGAGGGGGUCAGCUAUGGAGAACCUGUCUUGUCUUAUCUGAAAGACAACUUGGAAAAAAUAUUUGAUUAAAUUCGUCAUCUUAAAUCAUCAAAAUGCAAGAGGCAAUAGUAAAGCUAGCGUGUUACUUAUAAUUAAAAAUAUUCACAUUUUACAUAACUAUUUCAUUCCUUUUUUUGAUGAAGGAGCAAAUCUUUAAUUUUAAAGUUAUCUUUAACAAUUAGCAGCAGCCAUGACAAUUUCGGAGAGAUAUGCUCUUAGUGAUGGUAGACAAAGAGAUAUUAUAACUAAAAAAAUUAUACAUCAACAUGUGUAUAUGAAAUAGUUAUAGUGCAAACUUUAUCAGAUGCUGCUCAAAUAGUGGGCGUACUUAAUAAAACUUUAAGUAAACAUUUGGAUGAAGUAGUUAAAAUUAAAGGUUGCACGAUUAAAAGGGUUAUAAAAAGUAAAGAUGGAGAUUUAGUGAAAAAGGUUAUAACCGAAAGCGUUCAAAGCCAUUCUGCAUUGUAUGCAUAAGCUAUAGUGUUGUGGCUGGCUUUGGACAGUUUUGUAGAAAAAUUAAGUGAAAACGGUUAACGAUAUCCUGAUCAAAGACCGUCGGCAGUUAUAAAUGUCGCUACUGACUGGUUCACUAGGGUUAGACUGAAAUGUCUGUCCAAAUGUACAGUCGAGUUAUGUAACGAGGUAAGACUCGUAAGGGGGGAAGGAUUAUCUUGGUAUUGUACGAUAAAGAUAGCCAUGUAUACAAUGGUAAAAACUCCUAGUCAUAACUGGCAGAUACUGCUUACCUCUAGAUAGACGAGAAGACCCUAUGCAGCUUUACUGUUACUAUUUAUGGAGUAUGAUCGAAAAUUCACAGUUUAUAAUAAGGUAAUUGACAAUUUGCAAAUGAGAAUCCUUUAUUUAUCUUUCAUAUGAAUGAAUAAGAUUUAGUAUUAUAUUAAAUCAACCUAAUUCAACUUACUAUUAAAAGUAAGCGACCUUAGGUCAAGGGACUAUGACUAGUAGACAGUUUAUGUGGGGCACAGACCCUGUAAAGAGUAAACAGGAGUAUCUAAAAAAAAAAAUAAUCAAAAAGAUUAUUUAGUUUGCAAUUAAAGGUAGUUUGACUAUUUAUAAUCAUAUUGUACUUAUGGCAUAGGCAUAUAAAUUAAGGUAGGAUUUUAACUAAGAGGGAAUUAGAGAUAAUAGAAAAUAUCGUAAACAAGGAUAUUUUCAAGCUAUUAAAAAAAAAAUAGUUAUGUAUUGAAUAUCUAAAAAGCUUAACGGCUAAAUCUUGCCUGACUGUUUGAUUAUCUACACAUCUUACAGUUGCGUAAGCAGGGCAUAGGAUCACUAGAUGCAAUAAGGAAAGAUCUAGGAUUCUUGGAAAAGUUACGCUAGGGAUAACAGGCUAAUUUGCGCAAGAGUGUACAAAAUGAGUGCGCGGUUUGGCACCUCGAUGUCGGCUUAACUAAUCCUCAUGGAUGCAAGUACUAUGUAGGGUGCGACUGUUCGUCGCUUAAAAAGUUACACGAGCUGGGUUAAAUACGUCGUGAGACAGUAUGGUUUCUAUCUUCUAGGGGGAAUUAGAAUAAAAUAAGAACAAACUUUUGUACGCAAGGAACAAGACGAUUUUAACUCAAAAGGUUAAAAAGGGGUUUAUUAACCAAUGGUAUCUCUGUUGUUUAUGUGUUAAAGUGUUUCUUUCACUAAGACAAAUACAUCAUAAGCACGGCAGAAAGGCUAAGUUAGUUAAAGAUAAGUGCUGAAAGCAUAUAGGCACGAAGCUUAUCUUAAGAUAUUUCUUAAAUAUACGUAAUAUACUAUUACGAAAAUAAAUAGGCUUUUAUCUGUAAUAAUCAGUAGAUUUUUAAGAAUAAAGUACUAAUUUAAUAAUACACUAUUUAUAUAUAUAUC
This 4793-nucleotide ribosomal RNA is filed under the name Ophiocordycipitaceae sp. RNAcentral's name for it is "large subunit ribosomal RNA". It matches the Rfam family "Bacterial large subunit ribosomal RNA". The record is from RNAcentral. Lineage: Eukaryota; Fungi; Ascomycota; Sordariomycetes; Hypocreales; Ophiocordycipitaceae.